Molecule: ribosomal RNA, 434 nt
Filed under: uncultured bacterium
Lineage: Bacteria
Description: partial 16S ribosomal RNA
Rfam family: Bacterial small subunit ribosomal RNA
Source: RNAcentral
AGCGAACGCUGGCGGCAGGCCUAACACAUGCAAGUCGAACGAACCUUUCGGGGUUAGUGGCGGACGGGUGAGUAACACGUGGGAACGUGCCUUUAGGUUCGGAAUAACUCAGGGAAACUUGUGCUAAUACCGAAUGUGCCCUUCGGGGGAAAGAUUUAUCGCCUUUAGAGCGGCCCGCGUCUGAUUAGCUAGUUGGUUGAGGUAAUGGCUCACCAAGGCGACGACCAGUAGCUGGUCUGAGAGGAUGAUCAGCCACAUUGGGACUGAGACACGGCCCAAACUCCUGCGGGAGGCAGCAGUGGGGAAUCUUGCGCAAUGGGCGAAAGCCUGACGCAGCCAUGCCGCGUGAAUGAUGAAGGUCUUAGGAUUGUAAAAUUCUUUCACCGGGGACGAUAAUGACGGUACCCGGAGAAGAAGCCCCGGCUAACUUCGUG